RNAcentral lists this ribosomal RNA (237 nucleotides) under Streptomyces sp. SID4946. RNAcentral's name for it is "partial 23S ribosomal RNA". It matches the Rfam family "Bacterial large subunit ribosomal RNA", at positions 2695 to 2925 of the family's 2925-position model. Lineage: Bacteria; Bacillati; Actinomycetota; Actinomycetes; Kitasatosporales; Streptomycetaceae. The record is from RNAcentral.
GGACGGACGAACCUCUGGUGUGCCAGUUGUUCUGCCAAGGGCAUGGCUGGUUGGCUACGUUCGGGAGGGAUAACCGCUGAAAGCAUCUAAGCGGGAAGCCUGCUUCGAGAUGAGGACUCCCACCCACUUGAUGGGGUAAGGCUCCCAGUAGACGACUGGGUUGAUAGGCCGGAUCUGGAAGCCAGGUAACUGGUGGAGGUGACCGGUACUAAUAGGCCGAGGGCUUGUCCUCAGUUG